This 496-nucleotide ribosomal RNA is filed under the name uncultured bacterium. RNAcentral's name for it is "partial 16S ribosomal RNA". It matches the Rfam family "Bacterial small subunit ribosomal RNA", at positions 28 to 507 of the family's 1533-position model. The record is from RNAcentral.
GACGAACGCUGGCGGCGUGCCUAAUACAUGCAAGUUGAGCGAUGAAGAUUGGUGCUUGCACCAAUUUGAAGAGCAGCGAACGGGUGAGUAACGCGUGGGGAAUCUGCCUUUGAGCGGGGGACAACAUUUGGAAACGAAUGCUAAUACCGCAUAACAACUUUAAACAUAAGUUUUAAGUUUGAAAGAUGCAAUUGCAUCACUCAAAGAUGAUCCCGCGUUGUAUUAGCUAGUUGGUGAGGUAAAGGCUCACCAAGGCGAUGAUACAUAGCCGACCUGAGAGGGUGAUCGGCCACAUUGGGACUGAGACACGGCCCAAACUCCUACGGGAGGCAGCAGUAGGGAAUCUUCGGCAAUGGACGAAAGUCUGACCGAGCAACGCCGCGUGAGUGAAGAGGUUUUCGGAUCGUAAAACUCUGUUGGUAGAGAAGAACGUUGGUGAGAGUGGAAAGCUCAUCAAGUGACGGUAACUACCCAGAAAGGGACGGCUAACUACGUG